RNAcentral lists this long non-coding RNA (1006 nucleotides) under Meleagris gallopavo (turkey). Its description in RNAcentral is "lncRNA (ENSMGAG00000020819.1)". The record is from RNAcentral. Lineage: Eukaryota; Metazoa; Chordata; Aves; Galliformes; Phasianidae.
AUUGGUGAACUCGCUAGUGCAGUUAUGCUGUUGUGCUUUAAUGCUGUUUAUGAAAUUCUCAUAGUAAAUUAUUAAUAUUUUUCAAGUGCCUGAGGUACCAAAGAAAGUGGUCCAAGAAGAGGUUUCAGUUGAAGUACCUAAGAAACCAGAGCCUCCACCAGCUAAAGGUAACUGCUGUACACGAUGAACUAAAGAAAAACCCUUUGUUGUCUAGAGCGUGAUUUUAGUAAAUUUAUUUUCUUUAAUUAUAAAUAUUCAGUAUUUUUUGUUCAUUAAGUUGUAGUUUUUAUAUGUGAGAGACAGAGAAGCAUAGAAGUUAACCGUUUUGUAAAAAACAAAAAAAACAUUGCCUCAGAGAAAAUUUUCUAUAGCCAAAGAAAAAAAAAAAUUGAUGCUCAUAACCAAAACCACUGUUGUUUUUAAUGUCCACAAGUUUUAUUUUUUGUCAUGUCCAAGGUGCUAAGGAUACUGUUUAAAUUUCUUACAAAUAACAUAAAUUACUUUCUUUUAAGUGCCUGAGGUACCCAAGAAAGUGGUUCCAGAAGAAAAAGUACAUGUUGAAGUUCCUAAAAAACCAGAACCUCCGCCUCCUAAAGAACCUGAGGUGCCCAAGAAGAUUGUUCCAGAGAAGAAAUUACCGGAACCUGUGGCUGUACCUGAAAAACCAGAGCCUCUACCAGAGAAAGGUAAGUCUCAAAGUUAGUAGAACAAUAAAAGCAGUAUUUUUCCCCUUUUCUUUAACACUGUAAUUUUCAGGCCUUCUGAUUCUGAGAUUUCAAAUUGUAUUUGUUCUAUGUAUCUGGAUAUGUUUGUGAAAUAUGCAUAGGUGGAUCGUUUAGAAGAAUAGUGACAAAUUUUGGAUGUGUGAAUUACUUGUCUUCUUUACUCAAAAUCUUCUUACUAUUUUGGAUUAUUCUUACUGUUCUACUCACUACCUGCUUUGGUUAAUAAAAACAGCGAUAACUAAUAUCUUUAAAGUGGUAGCAGCAGAAGAAAAGUAUCCAUU